UGGGGAAUUUUGGACAAUGGGGGCAACCCUGAUCCAGCCAUGCCGCGUGCGGGAAGAAGGCCUUCGGGUUGUAAACCGCUUUCGGACGGAAAGAAAUCGCAUGGGUUAAUACCCUGUGUGGAUGACGGUACCGUAAGAAGAAGCACCGGCUAACUACGUGCCAGCAGCCGCGGUAAUACGUAGGGUGCGAGCGUUAAUCGGAAUUACUGGGCGUAAAGCGUGCGCAGGCGGUUUCUUAAGCCAGACGUGAAAUCCCCGGGCUUAACCUGGGAACUGCGUUUGGAACUGGGAGACUAGAGUGUGUCAGAGGGAGGUGGAAUUCCGCGUGUAGCAGUGAAAUGCGUAGAUAUGCGGAGGAACACCGAUGGCGAAGGCAGCCUCCUGGGAUGACACUGACGCUCAUGCACGAAAGCGUGGGGAGCAAACAGG
Molecule: ribosomal RNA, 429 nt
Filed under: uncultured bacterium
Lineage: Bacteria
Description: bacterial SSU rRNA
Rfam family: Bacterial small subunit ribosomal RNA
Source: RNAcentral